Molecule: ribosomal RNA, 266 nt
Filed under: uncultured bacterium
Lineage: Bacteria
Description: partial 16S ribosomal RNA
Rfam family: Bacterial small subunit ribosomal RNA
Source: RNAcentral
GUCCACGCCGUAAACGAUGAGUGCUAGAUGUCGCGGGUAUUGACCCCUGCGGUGUCGUAGCUAACGCGUUAAGCACUCCGCCUGGGGAGUACGGCCGCAAGGCUAAAACUCAAAGGAAUUGACGGGGGCCCGCACAAGCGGUGGAGCAUGUGGUUUAAUUCGACGCAACGCGCAGAACCUUACCCGGGCUAGAAAAACUAGGAACCUCUCAGAGACGAGGGGGUGCCCGCAAGGGAACCUAGGUCCAGGUGCUGCAUGGCUGUCGU